RNAcentral lists this long non-coding RNA (1038 nucleotides) under Homo sapiens (human). RNAcentral describes it as "HSALNT0251990". Lineage: Eukaryota; Metazoa; Chordata; Mammalia; Primates; Hominidae. The record is from RNAcentral.
GCUGAGACCACAGGCGCCCGCCACCACGGCCGGCUAAUUUUUUGUAUUUUUAGUAGAGACGAGGUUUCACCGUGUUAAUCCAGGAUGGUCUCGAUCUCCCGACCUUAUGAUCCACCCGCCUCGGCCUCCCAAAGUGCUGGGAUUACAGGCGUAAGCCACCGCGCCCGGCAGGUCAUGCUUUUGACCACUGCUCUACGGCCUCUCCAGAGGUUACCAGGUGUAAACCCCAGAGUUGGAAGCACAAUUUGAGAAUGCAGUGCUCUCUUCCGGAUUCCAGUGGCCAUGCUCCUGACUCCUCGAUUUUUAUCUCUUGCACCUUUUUUCACCUUCCUGCCCUUGACAACUGUUCAGUUCUUCUUUUCAAGCUUGCUGAACUGCAUUCUACUUAAUUUGGACCUAAUUCAGCUUUGUUCAUUUUUGUUUGAGUUUUCAACAAGAUAUUGACUAGGUCUAUUAGCCUGGUGUUUUCUCAAAACAAUGUAUGUGCAUUUUAAAGUUUUUAGUAUCCAGACCAUUACUGAAGUGCUACAAAAUUAAGACACCAUUAGCAACCACCCACUAACCCCACAAUAGCUCUUGGAGAACUACCAUUUGGUGUGUUUUUUGCCCUUGCUCUUUAUAGUCUUGUUUUGAAAAUUAUGGUACAAUACACAUAACACAAAAUUUACCAUUAGUGACACUUAGUACAUUGGCAGUGUUGUGCAACCAUCACCACUAUCUAGUUUGGGGUUUUCAUCACCUCUAAAGGAAACCCUGUACCCAUUAGUCAGUCUCUCCAUUCUCUCCUCCCCGCUGCCUUUGGCAACCACCAUCUGCAUUCUGUCUCUAUGGAUUUGCCUAUUUUGAAUAUUGCAUAUACACGGAAUCAUGUAAUAUGUGGCCUAACAUGUCUAGCUUCUUUCACUUAGCAUGUUUUCAAGAUUUAUCCCUGUUGUAGCAUGUAUCAGUACUUCAUUCCUUUUAUGGCUGAAUAAUAUCCCAUUAUAUGGAUAGACCACAUUUGUUUAUCCUUUCAUCAGUAAAUGAACAUUUGGGCUG